GAUGAACGCUGGCGGCGCGCCUAAUACAUGCAAGUCGAGCGAACGGACGAGAAGCUUGCUUCUCUGAUGUUAGCGGCGGACGGGUGAGUAACACGUGGAUAACCUACCUAUAAGACUGGGAUAACUUCGGGAAACCGGAGCUAAUACCGGAUAAUAUUUUGAACCGCAUGGUUCAAAAGUGAAAGACGGUCUUGCUGUCACUUAUAGAUGGAUCCGCGCUGCAUUAGCUAGUUGGUAAGGUAACGGCUUACCAAGGCAACGAUGCAUAGCCGACCUGAGAGGGUGAUCGGCCACACUGGAACUGAGACACGGUCCAGACUCCUACGGGAGGCAGCAGUAGGGAAUCUUCCGCAAUGGGCGAAAGCCUGACGGAGCAACGCCGCGUGAGUGAUGAAGGUCUUCGGAUCGUAAAACUCUGUUAUUAGGGAAGAACAUAUGUGUAAGUACCUGUGCACAUCUUGACGGUACCUAAUCAGAAAGCCACGGCUAACUACGUG
This 497-nucleotide ribosomal RNA is filed under the name uncultured bacterium. RNAcentral's name for it is "partial 16S ribosomal RNA". It matches the Rfam family "Bacterial small subunit ribosomal RNA", at positions 28 to 507 of the family's 1533-position model. The record is from RNAcentral.